RNAcentral lists this ribosomal RNA (450 nucleotides) under uncultured bacterium. Its description in RNAcentral is "partial 16S ribosomal RNA". It matches the Rfam family "Bacterial small subunit ribosomal RNA", at positions 354 to 796 of the family's 1533-position model. The record is from RNAcentral.
GUGGGGAAUUUUGGACAAUGGGCGCAAGCCUGAUCCAGCAAUGCCGCGUGCAGGAAGAAGGCCUUCGGGUUGUAAACUGCUUUUGUACGGAACGAAACGGUCCUGGCUAAUAUCCGGGGCUAAUGACGGUACCGUAAGAAUAAGCACCGGCUAACUACGUGCCAGCAGCCGCGGUAAUACGUAGGGUGCGAGCGUUAAUCGGAAUUACUGGGCGUAAAGCGUGCGCAGGCGGUGCUGUAAGACAGGCGUGAAAUCCCCGGGCUCAACCUGGGAAUUGCGCUUGUGACUGCAAGGCUGGAGUGCGGCAGAGGGGGAUGGAAUUCCGCGUGUAGCAGUGAAAUGCGUAGAUAUGCGGAGGAACACCGAUGGCGAAGGCAAUCCCCUGGGCCUGCACUGACGCUCAUGCACGAAAGCGUGGGGAGCAAACAGGAUUAGAUACCCUUGUAGUCC